AUGGCGGCGGAGGAGGGGGCGACGAAGACGUUCCUAGUCCAGAGCGAGGACGGCAUGAAUUUCGUGGUGUCGGACCUGGAGGCGAGCCAAUCCUGGGUCAUCGAUAGCGACACCGUCUGCUACGACGGCAAGCCCAUCCGCGUCGACGUCGGCGGCAAAACACUCACCAAGGUUUUCCAGUACUGCAAGAAGCACGCCUACUCCGACGGCUACGAUGUCAGCGCUUGGGACGCCAAGUUCAUCGCCAAGUUCAUCGGCGACCCGGGCCUCGAGACACUAUACGAUCUCAUCCUGGCUUCCAACGAACUUAAAAUCGAAGGACUGCUUGCACUGACCUGUCAGACUCUCGGCAAUAAGAUUAAGGGCAAGUCGCCACAUGAGAUCUGUGAUAUACUAAACAUCAGGGGUGUCUUCACUCCGCAAUUACAUGAAGAGCAUUCAAGUGGAUCUUGUGCUAGCCACACGGCUUUGGCAGCUAUGGGAAUCAUUGCAAAUUGGUGGAACCUAGAGCUAAAAUUGGUAGAUAAGGCCUUACAGGCUCUCCACGUAGUUCGUUGCCAGGAGUUCACCGGAUACGAGCCCAAGAUCAAUGGUUUAGUACGUCAUCGAUUCAACGACUUCAACCUAGCCUUCUUUGACUUGGAUAAAGAGACUAGCUUUUCCCGUGGCCCACCGCUUAACAACAAAACGCCAACGCGUGAGUCGGUCGUGAGAUCAUGUGUCAAUGUCGUUUCCUUGAAGGUAAGGGAAUCAGACGUUGGCUUUCCGGUCGACAUAUUUGGCACCGUUGUUGCAAGGGACUCUGUGGACUACAGAUGUGUCUAUCUGUUUCGGCGUGAAAGGGACGAUCCCCAACACAUCAGCUCGCCAGAUGAUAUGUUAUCUUUGACAGAUCCGUGUCGAGGGCUUGUCCCGGGAAGCAGUGUUUAUUUUGAGAUCGAUUUAAAGAUCAAGUGUGAUGGUUGUGCGGACAAAGACUUUAGCAAAGGCAUGGUAGAAUUCGAUUCGGUCCAUCUUUGUGAAGGCAAGGUGACCAUGACUCUUGGGCUAGGUAGUUGGCUGAGUUGGGUGGAGUUGUUAUGUGCACAGGUCUACUGGCCUGUGGAAGCCACAAUUGAAAUAAAUGUUUUGAAGGGGCCGUGCAAUAUCUCAAAGGUAGCUGCUUCGACUCCUGGAAACUUCAAGGAUCAUAUCAUUCUAUACGAAGCAGCGGGUGGCCCGACGGUAAUCGGUGACGGUGGCUCUGUUCCGUUGAAUCGUCGUGUUGUUGCUGUCACACGGGAGCAGAAGCUGGCGCUCUUUAUUGUGGGUGGCGAUGCACUUGAACACCUUGCCCUCACUCUAGGUCAUUCCCAAGAAAUGGUCAAUCGGAGGAUGGGCUGUGCUGAAGUGGAGGUGAAAGUUGCCUGGACAGCUGUCCCUAUAAGGAAGAGAUCUAAUAUGAUUAAGGUUGUGGCAAACCAGCGGCUAUUGCUGUGA
RNAcentral lists this ribosomal RNA (1479 nucleotides) under Triticum aestivum (bread wheat). Its description in RNAcentral is "partial small subunit ribosomal RNA". The record is from RNAcentral. Lineage: Eukaryota; Viridiplantae; Streptophyta; Magnoliopsida; Poales; Poaceae.